GAGGAUGUUGUGAUACAUGAGAAUGGAUCAUCUGUUGAAAAACUACGAAAUAAGGUAAUCGUAGAAUAUUGUAAUAUAAUUGAGCAGAGUUUUUGGGAAGCACACCCAGGCAUCCUUGAUUAGAGGCCCCAGACACCAGCAACAACGUUUUUUUUUCGGCCUCAUUUGGCUUAAAAGGGGAUAGAAGAAAUGUAUUUGACAAC
Molecule: unclassified non-coding RNA, 203 nt
Filed under: Hevea brasiliensis (rubber tree)
Lineage: Eukaryota; Viridiplantae; Streptophyta; Magnoliopsida; Malpighiales; Euphorbiaceae
Source: RNAcentral